Molecule: ribosomal RNA, 2826 nt
Filed under: Serratia marcescens
Lineage: Bacteria; Pseudomonadati; Pseudomonadota; Gammaproteobacteria; Enterobacterales; Yersiniaceae
Description: bacterial LSU rRNA
Rfam family: Bacterial large subunit ribosomal RNA
Source: RNAcentral
AGCGUACACGGUGGAUGCCUAGGCAGUCAGAGGCGAUGAAGGGCGUGCUAAUCUGCGAAAAGCGUCGGUAAGGUGAUAUGAACCGUUAUAACCGGCGAUACCCGAAUGGGGAAACCCAGUGUGUUUCGACACACUAUCAUGUCAUGAAUACAUAGUGGCAUGAGGCGAACCGGGGGAACUGAAACAUCUAAGUACCCCGAGGAAAAGAAAUCAACCGAGAUUCCCCCAGUAGCGGCGAGCGAACGGGGAGGAGCCCAGAACCUGAAUCGGCUUGUGUGUUAGUGGAAGCGUCUGGAAAGUCGCGCAGCAAAGGGUGAUAGCCCCGUACACUAAAAUGCACAGGUCGUGAGUUCGAUGAGUAGGGCGGGACACGUGACAUCCUGUCUGAAUAUGGGGGGACCAUCCUCCAAGGCUAAAUACUCCUGACUGACCGAUAGUGAACCAGUACCGUGAGGGAAAGGCGAAAAGAACCCCGGCGAGGGGAGUGAAAUAGAACCUGAAACCGUGUACGUACAAGCAGUGGGAGCACCUUCGUGGUGUGACUGCGUACCUUUUGUAUAAUGGGUCAGCGACUUAUAUUUUGUAGCAAGGUUAACCGUAUAGGGGAGCCGUAGGGAAACCGAGUCUUAACUGGGCGAUUAGUUGCAAGGUAUAGACCCGAAACCCGGUGAUCUAGCCAUGGGCAGGUUGAAGGUUGGGUAACACUAACUGGAGGACCGAACCGACUAAUGUUGAAAAAUUAGCGGAUGACUUGUGGCUGGGGGUGAAAGGCCAAUCAAACCGGGAGAUAGCUGGUUCUCCCCGAAAGCUAUUUAGGUAGCGCCUCGUGAACUCAUCUUCGGGGGUAGAGCACUGUUUCGGCUAGGGGGCCAUCCCGGCUUACCAAACCGAUGCAAACUCCGAAUACCGAAGAAUGUUAUCACGGGAGACACACGGCGGGUGCUAACGUCCGUCGUGAAGAGGGAAACAACCCAGACCGCCAGCUAAGGUCCCAAAGUCAUGGUUAAGUGGGAAACGAUGUGGGAAGGCAUAGACAGCCAGGAUGUUGGCUUAGAAGCAGCCAUCAUUUAAAGAAAGCGUAAUAGCUCACUGGUCGAGUCGGCCUGCGCGGAAGAUGUAACGGGGCUAAACCAUGCACCGAAGCUGCGGCAGCGACGCUUAGGCGUUGUUGGGUAGGGGAGCGUUCUGUAAGCCGUUGAAGGUGGCCUGUGAGGGUUGCUGGAGGUAUCAGAAGUGCGAAUGCUGACAUAAGUAACGAUAAAGCGGGUGAAAAGCCCGCUCGCCGGAAGACCAAGGGUUCCUGUCCAACGUUAAUCGGGGCAGGGUGAGUCGACCCCUAAGGCGAGGCUGAAAAGCGUAGUCGAUGGGAAACAGGUUAAUAUUCCUGUACUUGGUGUUACUGCGAAGGGGGGACGGAGAAGGCUAGGCUAGCCGGGCGACGGUUGUCCCGGUUUAAGCGUGUAGGGGGUGUGACCUGGUAAAUCCGGUUGCAUAUUAACCCUGAGGCGUGAUGACGAUGCACUACGGUGCAGAAGUAGUUGAUGCCCUGCUUCCAGGAAAAUCCUCUAAGCAUCAGGUAACAUUAAAUCGUACCCCAAACCGACACAGGUGGUCAGGUAGAGAAUACCAAGGCGCUUGAGAGAACUCGGGUGAAGGAACUAGGCAAAAUGGUGCCGUAACUUCGGGAGAAGGCACGCUGGCAUGUAGGUGAAGUCCCUCGCGGAUGGAGCUGAAGCCAGUCGAAGAUACCAGCUGGCUGCAACUGUUUAAUAAAAACACAGCACUGUGCAAACACGAAAGUGGACGUAUACGGUGUGACGCCUGCCCGGUGCUGGAAGGUUAAUUGAUGGGGUCAGCCGCAAGGCGAAGCUCUUGAUCGAAGCCCCAGUAAACGGCGGCCGUAACUAUAACGGUCCUAAGGUAGCGAAAUUCCUUGUCGGGUAAGUUCCGACCUGCACGAAUGGCGUAAUGAUGGCCAGGCUGUCUCCACCCGAGACUCAGUGAAAUUGAACUCGCUGUGAAGAUGCAGUGUACCCGCGGCAAGACGGAAAGACCCCGUGAACCUUUACUAUAGCUUGACACUGAACAUUGAGCCUUGAUGUGUAGGAUAGGUGGGAGGCUUUGAAGCGUGGACGCCAGUCUGCGUGGAGCCAUCCUUGAAAUACCACCCUUUAAUGUUUGAUGUUCUAACUCGGCCCCAUAAUCUGGGGUGAGGACAGUGUCUGGUGGGUAGUUUGACUGGGGCGGUCUCCUCCCAAAGAGUAACGGAGGAGCACGAAGGUUAGCUAAUCACGGUCGGACAUCGUGAGGUUAGUGCAAAGGCAUAAGCUAGCUUGACUGCGAGAGUGACGGCUCGAGCAGGUACGAAAGUAGGUCUUAGUGAUCCGGUGGUUCUGAAUGGAAGGGCCAUCGCUCAACGGAUAAAAGGUACUCCGGGGAUAACAGGCUGAUACCGCCCAAGAGUUCAUAUCGACGGCGGUGUUUGGCACCUCGAUGUCGGCUCAUCACAUCCUGGGGCUGAAGUAGGUCCCAAGGGUAUGGCUGUUCGCCAUUUAAAGUGGUACGCGAGCUGGGUUUAGAACGUCGUGAGACAGUUCGGUCCCUAUCUGCCGUGGGCGUUGGAAGAUUGAGAGGGGUUGCUCCUAGUACGAGAGGACCGGAGUGAACGCACCACUGGUGUUCGGGUUGUCAUGCCAAUGGCAUUGCCCGGUAGCUAAGUGCGGAAAAGAUAAGCGCUGAAAGCAUCUAAGCGCGAAACUUGCCUCAAGAUGAGUCUUCCCUGGGCCUUUAAGGUCCCUGAAGGAACGUUUAAGACUAAGACGUUGA